AUUGAACGCUGGCGGAAUGCUUUACACAUGCAAGUCGAACGGCAGCGCGGGGGCAACCCUGGUGGCGAGUGGCGAACGGGUGAGUAAUACAUCAGAACGUGCCCAGUCGUGGGGGAUAACGUAGCGAAAGUUACGCUAAUACCGCAUACGAUCUACGGAUGAAAGCGGGGGACCGUAAGGCCUCGCGCGAUUGGAGCGGCCGAUGUCAGGUUAGGUAGUUGGUGAGGUAAAGGCGCACCAAGCCGACGAUCUGUAGCUGGUCUGAGAGGACGACCAGCCACACUGGGACUGAGACACGGCCCAGACUCCUACGGGAGGCAGCAGUGGGGAAGUUUGGACAAUGGGCGCAAGCCUGAUGCAGCCAUUCCGCGUGCAGGACGAAGGCCUUCGGGUUGUAAACUGCUUUUGUACGGAACGAAAAGGCUCUGGUUAAUACCUGGGGCUCAUGACGGUACCGUAAGAAUAAGCACCGGCUAACUACGUGCCAGCCGCCGCCGUAA
RNAcentral lists this ribosomal RNA (500 nucleotides) under uncultured bacterium. RNAcentral's name for it is "partial 16S ribosomal RNA". It matches the Rfam family "Bacterial small subunit ribosomal RNA", at positions 29 to 523 of the family's 1533-position model. The record is from RNAcentral.